Molecule: ribosomal RNA, 492 nt
Filed under: uncultured bacterium
Lineage: Bacteria
Description: partial 16S ribosomal RNA
Rfam family: Bacterial small subunit ribosomal RNA
Source: RNAcentral
AGUGAACGCUGGCGGUAGGCCUAACACGUGCAAGUCGAACGGCAGCACAGUAAGAGCUUGCUCUUACGGGUGGCGAGUGGCGGACGGGUGAGGAAUACAUCGGAAUCUACUUUUUCGUGGGGGAUAACGUAGGGAAACUUACGCUAAUACCGCAUACGACCUACGGGUGAAAGCAGGGGAUCUUCGGACCUUGCGCGAUUGAAUGGGCCGAUGUCGGAUUAGCUAGUUGGCGGGGUAAAGGCCCACCAAGGCGACGAUCCGUAGCUGGUCUGAGAGGAUGAUCAGCCACACUGGAACUGAGACACGGUCCAGACUCCUACGGGAGGCAGCAGUGGGGAAUAUUGGACAAAGGGCGCAAGCCUGAUCCAGCCAUACCGCGUGGGUGAAGAAGGCCUUCGGGUUGUAAAGCCCUUUUGUUGGGAAAGAAAAGCAGCAGGUUAAUACCCCGCUGUUCUGACGGUACCCAAAGAAUAAGCACCGGCUAACUUCGUG